AGAUCAUUUUUAAGUGAACUUGGUGCACGUGGCAUUCAAGACAGCAAAGUUUAAGAGCAUCACAGGGACCCAAGUGGUUGAACAGCACAGAAAACAUUGUUUGAGCAGAGAAAGUGUGAUUCAAAGCAGAUGAUUUUAACAGCACCACGAGACAAACAGUUCAGCGGCACAGAGAACAGUGUUCAUGCAAGAUCCUUUGUAAGUGAACUUGGCGCACGUGGCAUUCAACACAGCUGAGUGGGAUACCAAGCAUAAAACGGCACAGAAAAUAGACGCUGAUGAAGAACGGAUGUCCGAGGACCUUGCUGCUCAAAAAAUGAAGAUCUACAGCAUCAUGUCCAGCUCAGCAGAGGGGCCGAGCGAUGUUGGUGUCGUCAUUGAGGGAGUGAAAGUUCUCACCACUCUGGGUACCUUUGCCAGGGCUUGCUGCAUGCUCCUCGGGCUGACUUAUGCACUAAAUCUGGCCUACCCUAAGGAGCUCAGAUAUACAUUUGAAAUCUUCCAGAAGCUCCUUCUGGAGCUGGACUGUUCGAAGCAGUCCCCAAAGCUGCACACUUUGAAGAGUAAGUUGUUGGACUAAGGAAAUGCCGAACUGGACACUUGAGCUGAGGCGGUGCAAUGGACACUUGACUUCAGUUUUUCAGAACUUAAUGACUUAAAGAUUUACCUUUUAAUUUCUCCAAACACUACUUUUUCAAGCAGGUUGACACGCACAAAAAAGUCAAAUGUGUUAUGCCAUCAUCGGUUGAUUUGUUGAUAUCUGAUGUGUCUGUAGAUGUGUUUGAAGCUGUGAACGAAACAUUAACUGUUAUAUCUACUGUGCUGUUAAGCAAACUUAUGCUAAGACCGUGCGAUGGACACUUGAGCUGAGGCAUUGCGAUGUGUACAUUGUGUAGUGGCCAACAACCUUAUGCCACAUGGACUAGGUAGGGCCGUCCACUAAUAGGGCCGUCCAUUUGUAGAUUUUGUCUUGGGCAUUCUUCACAAUAUCAGACACAUGAAGGUAUAAUUCCAAAGGAAUUAGCAUUGUGUUUUCAGAUACUUGCAAAGAAAAAGUACUUCAGUUUGUCUGAAAUUAAUGACUUAAUUGGACAUUUUCCUUUUAAGGGAUCAGAUAAAGCCAACUGCCCUCAAGCAGUUCCUAAAAGCUACAUUCACCGCAAAACAUUCACCAUGAAAAUUGGGCCUUAAUAAGGUUGUUCUCAUUGUUGGUCCACUGCACUACACUUCAUGUGUCUGAUGUUCUGAAGAAUGACGAAUACAGAAUAUGCAGACUGGUG
Engraulis encrasicolus (European anchovy) is the source of this 1280-nucleotide long non-coding RNA. RefSeq lists it as uncharacterized. The record is from RefSeq and is a predicted model, not a curated record. The transcript is spliced from 4 exons. Lineage: Eukaryota; Metazoa; Chordata; Actinopteri; Clupeiformes; Engraulidae.